RNAcentral lists this ribosomal RNA (428 nucleotides) under uncultured bacterium. Its description in RNAcentral is "bacterial SSU rRNA". It matches the Rfam family "Bacterial small subunit ribosomal RNA", at positions 354 to 796 of the family's 1533-position model. The record is from RNAcentral.
GUAGGGAAUAUUGGACAAUGGGGGCAACCCUGAUCCAGCGACGCCGCGUGAGUGAUGAAGGCCUUCGGGUCGUAAAGCUCUGUUGCAGGGGAAGAACACAAUGACGGUACCCUGCUAGAAAGGAUCGGCUAACUGCGUGCCAGCAGCCGCGGUAAGACGAGGGAUCCUAGCGUUGUUCGGAAUUAUUGGGCGUAAAGCGGGUGCAGGUGGCUUGGUAAGUCAGAUGUGAAAGCCUGGGGCUUAACCCCAGAAGUGCAUUUGAUACUGCUGAGCUUGAGUGCUGGAGAGGCUAUUAGAAUUCCUGGUGUAGUGGUGAAAUACGUAGAUAUCAGGAGGAAUACCGGAGGCGAAGGCGGAUAGCUGGCCAGACACUGACACUCAGACCCGAAAGCGUGGGGAUCAAACAGGAUUAGAUACCCGGGUAGUCC